Acinonyx jubatus (cheetah) is the source of this 1300-nucleotide long non-coding RNA. RefSeq lists it as uncharacterized. The transcript is spliced from 3 exons. NCBI's taxonomy places the organism in Eukaryota, Metazoa, Chordata, Mammalia, Carnivora, Felidae. The record is from RefSeq and is a predicted model, not a curated record.
AUUUACCCCUUCAGAACGCCAGCAUGCUUCGGGAAGCAGUUAGCUGGGAGAUUUCUUCAGUUUAUAGAUGAGAUUCUGGGACAUCUAUCUGCCUAUCCUCUCCGAAGUCAAAGCCCUCUGCCCUCAGAAAUACGUAGCCUUCCAGAUGGUUUCCAGACAAUAUCAAAUGACAAGAGGCUCAAUCAAACUUGGAAGUGAUAAUGUGCCAAUCAUCUAUCUUUCUGGCAUCUGCAUGAAAAUUAAGAAAUACUUUGGGAAAGUCAUUUAAUUCUGCAAAUGCAAAGCUAAUCUCCGCUCAUCAUCGAAGCAGUAAAACAUAAGAGAUUUCUAUAAGGAAAAUCGCAAUUAAAAAAAAAACCUUACAGAAGUGAAUUAUAAUGAAGCAAACAAUCUUGGAAGCAAUACGUCAGUGGUGGAGCGACCCAAUUAUUUAUUUUUCCAGCCAGGAAUUUACAGCCACGUCGGCCACAGAUGCCACCGUCCAGCUGACCAGCCUGUUUGCAGCGACUACUGCGACUUCGUAGGUUUUUUCUCCUUCCAAGACUUCUGGAACUUGGCAGAAGACAAAAAGCUUCUGGUGGAGAAAAUCAAAUUGGAAAAAGGGAGAGCAUUUAGCUUUUGAAGAAAUAUGUGUGGCCUUUAUUCACUUUCAUCCUGCAGAAGAUGGUGAUAUUCCCAGCCUUUUAAAACGAACCACACACCAUCUGGCUUUCACAAACAGUGCCUCGUACAUCUUCACUUUCUUCAGUGGGGAAAGAUUCCUGCUCUCCCAGGACUGAGCAAACAAAAUGACUUCAGCAUGGUCGUGAUACAGCUGACACGGACUGCCUGUAUUAUUUGGCACUUUUUCAUCAUGAAAUUAAUUUUGCAAAUGCAUCUUCGCCUAUUUGGACUGUGAGUACGUAGAAAGGGCUUUUCUUAUCUUGUCUCUACUAGUAUUAAACAUCUCAACAGUACCCAAGGGUGAACAAAGUCAAGAUCAAGUCAUCAAACAAGGAAAAUAAUUCGCAUUCGUGGCGCUUAUCCUGUAUCUAUCAGAAUCACUUCACUGAUAACGCUUGCUAUCGCAAUGGCUUUUUAACUAUUUCUUUUUCUUCAAUACAUAAACGAUGCAAGAAAGUUUUUUGUUUUUUCUUUUUUUUUUUAAAGAGUUGAUUUGGAGCCUAGAGGUGGAAAGUGUAUUCUGAUAUGACUGGGAAUUAAUUUUCAUCCAUGGCCAUUUUAAAAUAGUACUUCAGAAGAAGCCUAGUUUCCUCGUCCGUGUCUGUGAUGAUUCAGAACCACGUUCAACAUUCUAAAA